CCUACGGGAGGCAGCAGUGAGGAAUAUUGGUCCAUGGACGAGAGUCUGAACCAGCCAAGUAGCGUGAAGGAUGACUGCCCUAUGGGUUGUAAACUUCUUUUAUAUGGGAAUAAAAUGUUCCACGUGUGGGAUUUUGUAUGUACCAUAUGAAUAAGGAUCGGCUACCUCCGUGCCAGCAGCCGCGGUAAUACGGAGGAUCCGAGCGUUAUCCGGAUUUAUUGGGUUUAAAGGGAGCGUAGGUGGAUUGUUAAGUCAGUUGUGAAAGUUUGCGGCUCAACCGUAAAAUUGCAGUUGAAACUGGCAGUCUGGAGUACAGUAGAGGUGGGCGGAAUUCGUGGUGUAGCGGUGAAAUGCUUAGAUAUCACGAAGAACUCCGAUUGCGAAGGCAGCUCACUGGACUGCAACUGACACUGAGGCUCGAAAGUGUGGGUAUCAAACAGGAUUAGAUACCCCUGUAGUC
RNAcentral lists this ribosomal RNA (460 nucleotides) under uncultured bacterium. Its description in RNAcentral is "partial 16S ribosomal RNA". It matches the Rfam family "Bacterial small subunit ribosomal RNA", at positions 338 to 795 of the family's 1533-position model. The record is from RNAcentral.